Molecule: transfer RNA, 77 nt
Filed under: Zetaproteobacteria bacterium
Lineage: Bacteria; Pseudomonadati; Pseudomonadota; Candidatius Mariprofundia
Description: tRNA-Val
Rfam family: tRNA
About the family: Transfer RNA (tRNA) molecules are approximately 80 nucleotides in length.
Source: RNAcentral
GGGCGCAUAGCUCAGUUGGUUAGAGCGCUGGUCUUACAAACCAGAGGUCCUUGGUUCGACUCCAAGUGCGCCCACCA